CAAUAGCGUAUAUUAAAGUUGUUGCAGUUAAAAAGCUCGUAGUUGGAUUUCUGAUCGAGACAUCAGGUCGGGUCCGAGAGGAUCAUGUACUUUGAUUUUGUUUCGAUCAUCCUUGGGGAGAGCAUUUCUGGCAUUCAGUUGUCGGGAUUGGGAUCCUCAUCGUUUACUGUGAAAAAAUUAGAGUGUUCAAAGCAGGCCUCGGCCUCUGAAUACAUUAGCAUGGAAUGAUAAGAUAGGACUUUGGUGGUCUAUUUUGUUGGUUUGCACGCCAAAGUAAUGAUUAAUAGGGAUAGUUGGGGGUAUUCGUAUUCAAUUGUCAGAGGUGAAAUUCUUGGAUUUAUGGAAGACGAACUACUGCGAAAGCAUUUACCAAGGAUGUUUUCAUUAA
RNAcentral lists this ribosomal RNA (388 nucleotides) under uncultured eukaryote. RNAcentral's name for it is "partial 18S ribosomal RNA". It matches the Rfam family "Eukaryotic small subunit ribosomal RNA", at positions 592 to 976 of the family's 1831-position model. The record is from RNAcentral.